CCCCGGUUGGUGCAGUGGUUAGCACAUUGUCUUUGCCAGACAAAGGUCACGAGUUCAAAUCUUGUACCGGGGA
RNAcentral lists this transfer RNA (73 nucleotides) under Fusarium fujikuroi B14. RNAcentral's name for it is "tRNA-Ala (TGC) (tRNA-Ala-TGC-4-1)". It matches the Rfam family "tRNA". From Rfam's summary of the family: Transfer RNA (tRNA) molecules are approximately 80 nucleotides in length. Their secondary structure includes four short double-helical elements and three loops (D, anti-codon, and T loops). Lineage: Eukaryota; Fungi; Ascomycota; Sordariomycetes; Hypocreales; Nectriaceae. The record is from RNAcentral.